Molecule: transfer RNA, 72 nt
Organism: Ovis aries (sheep)
Lineage: Eukaryota; Metazoa; Chordata; Mammalia; Artiodactyla; Bovidae
Rfam family: tRNA
About the family: Transfer RNA (tRNA) molecules are approximately 80 nucleotides in length. Their secondary structure includes four short double-helical elements and three loops (D, anti-codon, and T loops).
Source: Rfam
UCUUUGGUAGCACAGAUGGUAAAGAAUCUGCCUGCAAUGCAGGAGAUCCAGGUUCAAUUCCUGGGUCAGGAA